RNAcentral lists this ribosomal RNA (776 nucleotides) under uncultured Neocallimastigales. RNAcentral describes it as "partial large subunit ribosomal RNA". It matches the Rfam family "Eukaryotic large subunit ribosomal RNA", at positions 23 to 644 of the family's 3401-position model. Lineage: Eukaryota; Fungi; Neocallimastigomycota; Neocallimastigomycetes; Neocallimastigales. The record is from RNAcentral.
AGAGAGAGACAUGCGCGCAUAUCAAUAAGCGGAGGAAAAGAAACUAACAAGGAUUCCCUUAGUAACGGCGAGUGAAGCGGGAAGAGCUCAAAUUUGAAAUCUUCAAGGUUCUACCUUGACGAAUUGUAGUUUAUAGAAGUGUUUUCUGUUAGUGGAGUGGCAAAAGUUCUUUGGAAUAGGACAUCAUAGAGGGUGAGAAUCCCGUAUUUGGUCAUUCCUCCUAGCGUUGUGAUACACUUUCAACGAGUCGGAUUGUUUGGGAAUGCAGUCCAAAAUGGGUGGUAAAUUUCAUCUAAAGCUAAAUAUUGGCGAGAGACCGAUAGCGAACAAGUACCGUGAGGGAAAGAUGAAAAGAACUUUGAAAAGAGAGUUAAACAGUACGUGAAAUUGUCAAAAGGGAAGCGUUUGACACCAGUGUUGUUUUUCCGAAAAUCAAUUACGAAUGUUUUAUUUUUGAGGAGUUAUGACUUCAUCGGCUUGCUCCUCUCUUUACUGAAACUUUCUUAAUGCACUUUUCGGUUAACAAGUCAACAUCAAUUUCUUUUGUUGUAAAAGGGUAUGAGGAAGGUGGCUUUCUUUUCGGAGAAAGUGUUUAUAGCCUCGUGCCUCUGCAAUCGGAGAGAUUGAGGUCUGCAGCGUAGAUCCUUCGGGGUUAGAUACAUUUGUGCUAAGUUAUAGCCUUUCAUAGACAACUUGUUGACUAUGUUUAGUCUUGUAGCUUACUCGCUUACUGCUAUUUUACCUACGCUUAGGAUGUUGAUAGUCACAGCGUGUAC